GUGUCCGACACAGGGCAGCCCCGGCCUCUCCUCCCAGAGCCCCCCGCAGCCACCACUCCUGACCACUUAAGGUCUGCCCACAAUAUAAAGCUCAAUAAACAACUUGCAUUAUUUGUGAGAAACAGCACUUUGGUUCCAGGUUGAGACUGUGCCCAGAUUGUCAGUUUAGGGCAUGAAGAUGGUUGUCAUCUCCUCUUUGGGGCUCAGGGAAAGAGAUGGAUUUACUGAAACAGACACCUGCUGUGGAAGUUAUUUAGCUCAUGUAAUUCCUAUUCUUCUCUUGAAUCCAUAAGACAGGCAUCAUCAACUGCAAGGCAUCUUCUGGUCACCUCCCUCUGCUGUAGUGCUACUCAGAAGUUGUCCCAACACUGAUUGAUUCAGGAGUUUGAG
Long non-coding RNA from Corapipo altera (White-ruffed manakin), 390 nucleotides. RefSeq lists it as uncharacterized. Lineage: Eukaryota; Metazoa; Chordata; Aves; Passeriformes; Pipridae. The record is from RefSeq and is a predicted model, not a curated record. The transcript is spliced from 3 exons.